This 843-nucleotide ribosomal RNA is filed under the name Clostridioides difficile. RNAcentral's name for it is "partial 23S ribosomal RNA". It matches the Rfam family "Bacterial large subunit ribosomal RNA", at positions 1366 to 2218 of the family's 2925-position model. The record is from RNAcentral. Lineage: Bacteria; Bacillati; Bacillota; Clostridia; Peptostreptococcales; Peptostreptococcaceae.
UCGUCCGCCCUGGGUUAGUCGGGACCUAAGCUGAGGCCGAAAGGCGUAGGUGAUGGACAACAGGUUGAUAUUCCUGUACUACCGAUAACCGUUUGAGAGAAGGGAUGACACAGUAGGAUAAGCUAAGCACACUGUUGGUUAUGUGUGCCCAAGCAUUGAGGCAGUCAAAGUAGGCAAAUCCGCUUUGAUAAUGCUGGGAUGUGAUGGGGAGCGAAAUUUAGUAGCGAAGUAGCUGAUUUCACACUGUCAAGAAAAGUCUCUAUCGAGGUUAAAGGUACCCGUACCGCAAACCGACACAGGUGGGUGAGGAGAGUAUCCUAAGGCCAGCGAGAGAACUGUUGUUAAGGAACUCGGCAAAAUGACCCCGUAACUUAGGGAUAAGGGGUGCCACCAUCAGGUGGCCGCAGAGAAUAGGCCCAAGCGACUGUUUACCAAAAACAUAGGUUUCUGCUAAGUCGCAAGACGAUGUAUAGGAGCUGACGCCUGCCCGGUGCUGGAAGGUUAAGGGGAUCUGUUAGAGCAAUCGAAGCAGUGAACUUAAGCCCCAGUAAACGGCGGCCGUAACUAUAACGGUCCUAAGGUAGCGAAAUUCCUUGUCGGGUAAGUUCCGACCCGCACGAAAGGCGUAACGAUUUGGGCACUGUCUCAACAACAGACUCGGUGAAAUUGUAAUUCCGGUGAAGAUGCCGGAUACCUGCGACAGGACGGAAAGACCCCAUGGAGCUUUACUGUAGCUUGACAUUGGGUCUUGGUACUACAUGUACAGGAUAGGUGGGAGGCUUUGAAACCAGGACGCCAGUUUUGGCGGAGCCAUCCUUGGGAUACCACCCUUGUAGUACUGGG